RNAcentral lists this ribosomal RNA (255 nucleotides) under uncultured bacterium. RNAcentral's name for it is "partial 16S ribosomal RNA". It matches the Rfam family "Bacterial small subunit ribosomal RNA", at positions 96 to 353 of the family's 1533-position model. The record is from RNAcentral.
UGGCGGACGGGUGAGUAAUGUCUGGGAAACUGCCUGAUGGAGGGGGAUAACUACUGGAGACGGUAGCUAAUACCGCAUAACGUCGCAAGACCAAAGAGGGGACCUUCGGGCCUCUUGCCAUCGGAUGUGCCCAGAUGGGAUUAGCUAGUAGGUGGGGUAACGGCUCACCUAGGCGACGAUCCCUAGCUGGUCUGAGAGGAUGACCAGCCACACUGGAACUGAGACACGGUCCAGACUCCUACGGGAGGCAGCAUG